This 336-nucleotide unclassified non-coding RNA is filed under the name soil metagenome. RNAcentral's name for it is "partial contains 5.8S ribosomal RNA, internal transcribed spacer 2, and large subunit ribosomal RNA". The stretch from base 1 to 120 matches the Rfam family "5.8S ribosomal RNA", at positions 35 to 154 of the family's 154-position model. The record is from RNAcentral.
GAUGAAGAACGCAGAAAAAUGCGAUAAGUAAUGUGAAUUGCAGAAUUCAGUGAAUCAUCGAAUCUUUGAACGCACAUUGCGCCCGCCAGUAUUCUGGCGGGCAUGCCUGUUCGAGCGUCAUUUCAACCAUCAAGCCCCAGGCUUGUGUUGGGGACCUGCGGCUGCCGCAGGCCCUGAAAACCAGUGGCGGGCUCGCUGUCACACCGGGCGUAGUAGAUUUUAUCUCGCUCAGGGCGUGCUGCGGGUUCCGGCCGUUAAAAAGCCUUUUUUACCCAAGGUUGACCUCGGAUCAGGUAGGAAGACCCGCUGAACUUAAGCAUAUCAAUAAGCGGAGGA